This 679-nucleotide ribosomal RNA is filed under the name uncultured organism. RNAcentral describes it as "bacterial LSU rRNA". It matches the Rfam family "Bacterial large subunit ribosomal RNA", at positions 184 to 869 of the family's 2925-position model. The record is from RNAcentral.
CCCAGCGAACUGAAACAUCUUANAUAGCUGGAGGAAAAGAAAUCAAAAGAGAUUCCCAAAGUAGCGGUGAGCGAAAUGGGACCAGCCUAAACCAGCAGUUAAAACUGGUGGGGUAGUGGGACAGCAAAAGGGAACGAGAAAGUUAGACGAAGCAGCUGAAAACUGCACCAGAGAAGGUGAAAGUCCUGUAGUCGAAAACGGACUCGUCCUAGCUGACUCCCGAGUAGCACGGGACACGUGGAAUCCCGUGUGAAUCAGCGAGGACCAUCUCGUAAGGCUAAAUACUACUGCGUGACCGAUAGUGGAACAGUACCGUGAGGGAAAGGUGAAAAGAACCCCGUGAGGGGAGUGAAAGAGAACAUGAAACCGUCAGCUUACAAGCAGUGGGAGGACGAUUAAACGUCUGACCGCGUGCCUGUUGAAGAAUGAGCCGGCGAGUUGUAAGUACUGGUAGGUAAAAGCCAGAAAGGCCUUUGCCAAAGCGAAAGCGAGUCUGAAAAGGGCGAAAAUCAGUAUUUACAGACCCGAAACCGGGUGAUCUAACCAUGUCCAGGAUGAAGCUUGGGUAACACCAAGUGGAGGUCCGCACCGACCGAUGUUGAAAAAUCGGCGGAUGAGGUGUGGUUAGGGGUGAAAUGCCAAUCGAACUCGGAGCUUGCUGGUUCUCCCCGAAAUGUGU